GAUGAACGCUGGCGGCGUGCCUAAUACAUGCAAGUCGAGCGAACGGACGAGAAGCUUGCUUUUCUGAUGUUAGCGGCGGACGGGUGAGUAACACGUGGAUAACCUACCUAUAAGACUGGGAUAACUUCGGGAAACCGGAGCUAAUACCGGAUAAUAUUUUGAACCGCAUGGUUCAAAAGUGAAAGACGGUCUUGCUGUCACUUAUAGAUGGAUCCGCGCUGCAUUAGCUAGUUGGUAAGGUAACGGCUUACCAAGGCAACGAUGCAUAGCCGACCUGAGAGAGUGGGCAGGCACAAGGGAACUAAGACACGGUCCAGACGCAAGCGGGAGGCAGCAGCAGGGCAUGUUCAGAAAUAGUCGAAAGCCUGACAGAGCAAGGACGCGAGAAUGAAGAAGUUAUUAGGAACGUAAAAAUCUGUUAAUAGGGGAGAACAUAGGUGUAAGUAACUGUUCACAUCUUGACGGUACGUAAUCAGAAAGCCAAGGCUAGCUAAGUG
RNAcentral lists this ribosomal RNA (497 nucleotides) under uncultured bacterium. RNAcentral describes it as "partial 16S ribosomal RNA". It matches the Rfam family "Bacterial small subunit ribosomal RNA", at positions 28 to 507 of the family's 1533-position model. The record is from RNAcentral.